CCGACACAUGCUUCCAUAGAUGAAUUCCUCAGCCACAUCGAACUCCCUCACUUGACACAAGCACAAAAAGAAGCACUCGACCGACCAUUCACAGACGACGAGGUCGCAAAAACUAUUGCAUCCCUCCCGAAACAUAAGGCCCCAGGUCCAGACGGAUUCUCAAACUACUACUACAUUAAACUAGCAAAGACUCUAACACCUUUCCUAACCACACUUUUUAAUAACAUUAAAUCGACAGGGACCAUGCCAAAAGAAAUGCUUGAAGCGCAUAUUAUCACACUUCCCAAACCGGGCAAACCGCCCACCAAAUGCGAGAAUUUAAGACCAAUCUCGCUUCUUAAUGCGGAUGCUAAGCUUUACGCUAAACUACUCGCAUCCCGCAUGAAACCCCUCCUCACGGACUUAGUAUCAGUAGAACAAGCUGGGUUUGUUCCCGGACGACAAGUGGGAGACAACACACGUCACUGUUUGAACCUGGUAAAUUGGGCGGGGACAAGCAACCAACAUGGGGUGAUCUUGG
This is a non-coding RNA of Pelobates cultripes (western spadefoot toad), 520 nucleotides long. The record is from the annotation of a GenBank genome assembly. NCBI's taxonomy places the organism in Eukaryota, Metazoa, Chordata, Amphibia, Anura, Pelobatidae.